This 1718-nucleotide unclassified non-coding RNA is filed under the name Exaiptasia diaphana. RNAcentral describes it as "uncharacterized LOC110249008, transcript variant X2". Lineage: Eukaryota; Metazoa; Cnidaria; Anthozoa; Actiniaria; Aiptasiidae. The record is from RNAcentral.
GCUUAAGAUCCGCGUAUUUUCAUGAAACGUGAAACGUCAAUUUGCCGUUUGCCGUUUGUCGUUUGCCGUUGUCCAUUUGAGCGUAAGUUUCACGCAUACGUAGAAUUAGCCGAUAGCUAGUUACCAGUCUUUCCUGCGCUGUUUGUUGCCAUUAAAACCAAAACAAAGAUGGCUGCCAAGCGAAGGUAAGUGUAUAUUUUCUACUUUACAACCAUCAUUCAAACAAUUCAGUUCAAAAUUUUUUUGAAGGGAAAAUUAUUUAAUGUAUUUUUUGUAUGUUUCACAAAAUUUCUAGGCAAUAUAUGCAGGAAAUGCUUCUAAUGUUGACUGAAGAUCAAAGUAGUGACAGCUCCGAGUGCGACAGUAGCGAUGAUGACGAUGAUGUAGAACUGCUUUUACUUGAAACUAUGUUUGUAGAGCGAAAUAUUGGCGCUAGAAUCAAUCCAGCUGAUAUAAGUGAUGAAGACUUUGAGAACUUUUUCAGAUUUCAAAAAAAAGAUUUUGACAGAUUGGCAACAGCUCUUGAAUUGCCAGAGGAAUAUAUAUGUGAACAAGGGACAGUUUCACCUGCUUCAGAGGCAUUGAUGAUUUUGUUAAGAAGACUUGCAUACCCAAACAGAUGGUGCGACUUAGUUCACCUUUUUGGGAGACAGGAACCAGUACUAAGUAUGAUUUUUCACCAGAUACUUUCAGACAUUUACAACAGAUAUUCUCAUCUUCUUGAUGAUUUGGACCUUGUUUGGCUAGAUCCAGAUAAUUUUUCAAAAGCCAUUCACAAUAAAGGGGCACCUCUAAAACAAUGCUGGGGGUUCAUAGAUGGCACAGCCAAGUCGAUAUGCAGACCCAUUCGAAACCAAAGAAUAAUGUAUUCUGGUCACAAGCGAACACAUUGUAUAAAAUUUCAGUCAGUAAUUGCUCNCAAUGGAAUUAUUUNCCAUNUAUUUGGUCCUAUGGAAGGUCGGAGACAUGAUGCCUUUAUGUUGACUUCUAGUGGUCUAUUACCCAAACUGGAACAGCGAAUGAAUAAGCCAAACGGUGACCCUUUUGUCCUAUAUGGAGAUCCUGCUUAUCCUGUCAGACGUCACAUUAUUGCACCUUUUCGUGGUGCACAGUUAAGUUUAGCAGAGCAAUCUUUUAACAAGGACAUGUCAGCUGUAAGAACAAGUGUUGAAUGGGGAUAUGGGAACAUCAUUAAGUAUUUUGCCUUUUUAGAUUUCUCCAAAAAUUUAAAGGUUCUUUUACAACCGGUUGGAAAACUGUAUUCAACAUCAGCAAUUCUUUCAAACUGUCAUAUUUGUUUAUAUGGUUCCCAGACAGGACAGUUUUUNGGGUUGAACCCUCCAGAAUUGGAGACAUAUUUGCAUAAUCAGUAAGAGAUCAAAACCAGCAGCCCCCUCGGCUCCUCCCAAUAAAAUGUGAAUGGUCCCUUUGUAAGCUAGGUAUGAGUGCUGAAGGGCUAUCUUUAGGGUAGGGUACAAAUCCUACAGGCUAUUUAUCAAGACUUUUUUUCACCAAGAUCAAUACACAACUUAUUAUUACAUGUUAUUUGAGGAUAGAGCUGGAAAAAAAAAUUAAAAGAUGACCUGGGAAAUGUUUUUUAUUUGUAUAAAGCCCAAAGCAAUAGCAAAUUAUUAAACUGACUCAGUUAUAUUAUAUAUAAAUUUGCAAAAUGUUGUAAAUAAUUUAUUCUUUUACAGACGCAAUGAUAUAAAAAAACA